Long non-coding RNA from Halichondria panicea, 1519 nucleotides. RefSeq lists it as uncharacterized. Lineage: Eukaryota; Metazoa; Porifera; Demospongiae; Suberitida; Halichondriidae. The record is from RefSeq and is a predicted model, not a curated record. The transcript has 4 exons.
UGCCCUCCGUACUCAAACCCGCAUGAGCCUCCCCACAUUACCGACGAUACCAAGCAUUAUUCCAUAUACGGUCAAUGUAGGCCAGAAUGCCAUCCCCAUUCCCGACAAACUAUCUAAAAAAUCGGAAAAAGGGGAAUUUAUCGAACUAGCGGAGUUCUUACCCGACUCGUUCGGGGGUACCUCAACGAUACGGGUGAGAAACCCAGAAAAAAGCGCAGCGUUGCCAACAUAUUACAGUGGGUUGAAUGCUUUAACGCAUACGUCUCAUUUGUCACGCAACGUGACCCCACACGCGUGCAUGACCUUUUAGCGUAUUCCUCACUAAUCGUCCACACGGCCCGGAAAUACGCUGGAGACGGGUGGAUACAGUAUGAUAGAAACUUUAGAAAAGCAGCUGCAGCUAACCCAGCCAUGAAGUGGGGCGAGAUCUAUCAAACAUUUUAUGCUAUGGCUUUUGUAAAUGCAAAAACCAAAGAGCAUUGUUCAUUAUGCUUUAGCCUAGACCACGCAACGACGGAAUGCGAUGACUACGAACCUCCCAAAGCACCUACUAACUACCACAAACGACCUAUUGCGGCUGUCAACUCGGCAGCCGCAAUUGGAACUUUGGCACAUGCCCACACCUCCCAAACUGUCCUGUGUCUUGUGUGAGUAGAGUGUGUGUCUGUGAUAGUGCCGAGAGUGAACGUGUGUGGGUGUGAGUAGUGAGUGUGAAAAGUGAACAUGCAUGUAUAUGUGUGGGUGUGUGGAGGGGGUAUGCCAUUGGCCAGGAGUGAGUGUGUGAAGUGAACUUGUUUAUACAACACAUUGACCCUUCCUCCGCACACACGCAGUUUGUGAAGUUUGCCGAGCGAGAGGAAGGGAACACCCCCUACCACAGACAGUACGACUUCCUCAUCCACCGCUUUGCCUCUCUUAGCCUCACCAAGAAUGUUGACGACACCGAUAAAUAUCACGAGACGCGGAUGGCUGGGUUGCAAGGACUGAGGGGAGUGAUAAAGAUCACAUGAACAAGAUAGUGCCGCCCUUCCUCUUCAAUAUGCACAGUCACAGUGUCGCCCAGUCAAGGUAUACUGUCUAGGAAAGUCACUACAAUUUGCUUCAGUUCUACUCCUGGAGCAUACACAUACUUCAAUGAGUAAAUGUUGAUAGCCUCAGUCUGUAUCAAACGUACCUAUUGAUGGCCUUAGAUAAUUAUACAGUGUGUGCCAAUAGUAACCUCCCUCCCACUCUGACAGAGAGUCUGGUGAGAUCCAGCCUGUUGUGGAGGAGGGGGACAGUCUGGGGGGGUACUCUCAGGAUAGUCUCACUGCAGGAGCUUAUCGCUUUUGCCGGACUCUCUCCCAUCGAUAGUGUCCUCAAGCCAAUACUACAACACUAUGACCUAAACAAACUAUAGAUAUCGGACAAGGAAUUCACAGCUGGUGUGUACGCCAUCGUUGUGGAAGCCAUGCAGAGACAGGAUCGGUACAAGGCCGUCCAGUUGCUGGUGGACCACGUGGAUGCCAAGGUGAAGGAG